UAAGGCUGAGACUUGAUGCAUACCCGUUGUGGGGAAUUCAGUGAUCCUAUGCUGCCGAGAAAAGCCUCUAGUGAGUUCAUACACGGCCCGUACCCCAAACCGACACAGGUGAUCAGGUAGAGAAUACCAAGGCGAUCGAGAGAACUGUGGUUAAGGAACUCGGCAAAAUGCCCCCGUAACUUCGGGAGAAGGGGGACCAUGCCCGGUGAACAUCUUCACGGUGGGAGCUGGGUGUGGUCGCAGAGACCAGAGAGAAGCGACUGUUUACUAAAAACACAGGUCCGUGCGAAGACGUAAGUCGAUGUAUACGGACUGACGCCUGCCCGGUGCUGGAAGGUUAAGAGGACCGGUUAGCCGUAAGGCGAAGCUGAGAAUUUAAGCCCCAGUAAACGGCGGUGGUAACUAUAACCAUCCUAAGGUAGCGAAAUUCCUUGUCGGGUAAGUUCCGACCUGCACGAAUGGCGUAACGACUUCUCUGCUGUCUCGACCACAGACUCGGCGAAAUUGCACUACGAGUAAAGAUGCUCGUUACGCGCGGCAGGACGAAAAGACCCCGGGACCUUUACUAUAGCUUGGUAUUGGCGUUCGAUUCGGUUUGUGUAGGAUAGGUGGGAGACUGUGAAGCAUGCACGCCAGUGUGUGUGGAGUCGUUGUUGAAAUACCACUCUGAUCGUAUUGGACGUCUAACCUCGGCCCAUGAUCUGGGUUAGGGACAGUGCCUGGUGGGUAGUUUAACUGGGGCGGUUGCCUCCUAAAGAGUAACGGAGGCGCCCAAAGGUUCCCUCAGCCUGGAUGGCAAUCAGGUGUUGAGUGCAAGUGCACAAGGGAGCUUGACUGUGAGACUGACACGUCGAGCAGGGACGAAAGUCGGGACUAGUGAUCCGGCACCGGCAAGUGGAAGCGGUGUCGCUCAACGGAUAAAAGGUACCCCGGGGAUAACAGGCUGAUCUUCCCCAAGAGUCCAUAUCGACGGGAUGGUUUGGCACCUCGAUGUCGGCUCGUCGCAUCCUGGGGCUGGAGUAGGUCCCAAGGGUUGGGCUGUUCGCCCAUUAAAGCGGCACGCGAGCUGGGUUUAGAACGUCGUGAGACAGUUCGGUCUCUAUCCGCCGCGCGCGUAAGAAACUUGAGGAAGGCUGUCCCUAGUACGAGAGGACCGGGACGGACGAACCUCUGGUGUGCCAGUUGUUCCACCAGGAGCAUGGCUGGUUAGCUACGUUCGGAAGGGAUAACCGCUGAAAGCAUCUAAGCGGGAAGCCUGUUCCAAGAUGAGGUUUCUCACCACCUUGCGUGGUUAAGGCCCCCUACAGACCAUGGGGUUGAUAGGCCGGAACUGGAAGCGCAGCAAUGCGUGGAGGUGACCGGUACUAAUAGGCCGAGGGCUUGC
Molecule: ribosomal RNA, 1384 nt
Filed under: metagenome
Description: bacterial LSU rRNA
Rfam family: Bacterial large subunit ribosomal RNA
Source: RNAcentral